This 466-nucleotide ribosomal RNA is filed under the name uncultured bacterium. Its description in RNAcentral is "partial 16S ribosomal RNA". It matches the Rfam family "Bacterial small subunit ribosomal RNA", at positions 339 to 795 of the family's 1533-position model. The record is from RNAcentral.
CUACGGGGCGCUCCAGUGGGGAAUAUUGGACAAUGGGGGAAACCCUGAUCCAGCAAUGCCGCGUGUGUGAAGAAGGCCUGCGGGUUGUAAAGCACUUUCGGUUGGGAGGACUGCUCCUAGCACUAAUAUUGUUGGAAGUUGACGUUACCUUCAGAAGAAGCACCGGCUAACUCCGUGCCAGCAGCCGCGGGUAAUACGGAGGGUGCAAGCGUUAAUCGGAAUUACUGGGCGUAAAGCGCGCGUAGGCGGCUAGAUCAGUCGGGUGUGAAAGCCCCGGGCUUAACCUGGGAACUGCAUCCGAUACUGUCUAGCUUGAGUACAUGAGAGGAGAGUGGAAUUCCACAUGUAGCGGUGAAAUGCGUAGAUAUGUGGAGGAACACCAAUGGCGAAGGCAGCUCUCUGGCCUGAUACUGACGCUGAGGUGCGAAAGCGUGGGGAGCAAACAGGAUUAGAUACCCUAGUAGUC